UCUUUCUUUGCAUCUCCUCCAGCGUUCUUCUGCCACACAGUUUCUCUCUCUACUUUAACAACAAAAGCAAAAAGCGUAAGAUAAGACGUAAGCAAGAAUUUGCUUUCUGGAAUCUUCUUUUCUUCCUGUCCUCUAUUAUUCUUCCUCCUGUGUAACAUUCUUCUUCCUCUUCCCUCUCCUGUAUAAUCACAAACAACAACAAAAGAGGAAUAACUCUUAACAGAAAUUCAUUACUUCCUUCAUUCGGUUUGUUGGUUCACUUGAUCGAUCUUCUUUAGUCUGCUGCGUCGGUUUGUUCUUUGGAAAUGAUCGACCCUAAGUAUGCUUAUCCAUAUCCUGCCCAAGGGAAUUACCAAGGGCCACCUGUAAUGGAGACCCAAUGAGAAAGAGCGCUGCUCACUGAAGAAAGUGGUUUUGAUCGAAAAGUAUGGAGAAGGGGGUUUUAGUUCAUAGAUAAUAGGUAUUUUACAUGUAUGAGGGUAGUUAUUUUUGUGUUUAGGGGGAGUUAUUUUUGAGUGUAGCGCCAAGUUGAUAUUUCGUCAUAGUUCAGCAGAGGGGAAUGAUAUUUCCUCAAAAAUUUUAAAUGAAACUAUAGCACCCCGGCCCCAUUAGCCUUGAUAGAAUAUUGUCUUUUUUGUCUCA
This is a long non-coding RNA of Macadamia integrifolia, 642 nucleotides long. RefSeq lists it as uncharacterized. The record is from RefSeq and is a predicted model, not a curated record. NCBI's taxonomy places the organism in Eukaryota, Viridiplantae, Streptophyta, Magnoliopsida, Proteales, Proteaceae. The transcript has 2 exons.